UCGAACCGCCCUAAUGUUCAUAUAUGUUUGAAUGUUAUUUUUAAAAUUUUUGGUAUAGUUUCAGUAAACGUCGAUUGUAAACUUCGAUUGUAAACGAUCGAAGCCAUAUGCCUGAAUAAAACACUGAGUAUUAUUCAGAAAGUCCCUCGCUCGACUCGCGUUCGCGUAAUACUGCCGUUUUCGAAGUCUGCUUUUGAGAGGAGUUAGGCUGGUGAUUCUAUUAGGGAUGGGAAACCUAUCGAUAAUUAUCGAUUAUUUCGAUAGUUGCCCGCUAUCGAUAGAAUCGUUAAGCUUUUAGCGUUACCGAUAGUUAUCGAUAAUCAUCUCGCAUGCACCCUACGGACCCAUCCGCAGCGAUGCCAAAACAGCUAAGCAAAUUAACCUUACCAGCGCUGAAAACGAUUCUGAUGCCUGUUCGCAAUUACACGUAAUCCCCUUCAAAACUGCACGAAUAUUUCAAUUUUACUUUAUCUCACGCAAAACCCAAACAAAUAUCAACAACGAUGACAGGACAAUUCGGGACUACGAAGCUGCUGAUAUUUGUUUGGUUUUUCGCAUAAGAGAGUAAAGGAAAGAAAUAUUUUUGCUUUUGUCAACACGCAUACUCUGACAAUCUAUACGAGAGUUUACGGGAGUGUGAGCAGUCUCUAAAAUCUUUUUGAGUCUAGUCGCGAAUUGUUUGAAAAUUAAGAAAUAUUCAUGUUCGCUCACUUUAACUCGUAAUUUCGCGGUGAUUCUAAUCUUCUUAAAGUUGGCAGCAGUACGACAAAGUUGUUGUAUGUAACGAAAGCAACUUUUUUCUUUGAAAAAUGUCGCAGAAUACGUAAGUUUUAUAAUUAAAUGUUUUAUUAAAUUGAAUUAAUAUUAUAGUAAAUACCACAACGUUAUGAUGGUGAAUAUUUUUUUUCGCAGAGCCCAAAAAAGAACGAAGAGGUCAUUUGUAUGGGGCUUCUUCGAAAAAAUUAACAAAGGUAAUAGUAAUGUAUUUCGUUGCAAAGUUGCUGGAUGUAAAACAGAGCUCUCAUGUAGUGGAAACACUACUAACCGACGAUAUCAUUUGCAAUCGCAUCACCCGGUUGAAUUACGUGAAGCACAAUCUGGAAAUCGAAUGUCAUCUGAUUCAAGUUUUAACGAUGAUGAGGGAGACAAUGCGGAAGGAAUGCAUCACCAAAAACAAACAUCGAUGACAAAAUAAAUCAAGCAAAGCGGCAUUUCGUACAAUCCAGCUUCUCAAAAAAAAAAAAUGAAUUGGACAAAGCAUUAGUUCGCUUUAUAGUGAAAGAUAUACAACCGUUGGCCGUAGUUGAUGACGACGGGUUCGCCGAGUUCGUUCAUGCUCUCGAUCCGCGGUGUUGUUUACCGAGCAGGAGACAUCUACGAGACGUUUUGUUAGAGCAAGCGUAUCAGAAAACUGUACAACAUAUAGAUUUAUUGCCCUAACAUACGAUGGCUGGACUAGCCGUACAACACAAGGAUACUUGGUGGUAACUGGACAUUUUAUUUUCGAGGAAAAGCUUUCAACUGCGACAUUAGGUGUGAUACCAAUACCUUCGCGUUCGACGAGUAAAAAUUUGAAGGAAUUGAUUUUCUCAGUGCUCAAGCGGUUUCCGAGUGUAAGCGUCGUAUGCGCCGUAACAGACAGCGGCAGUAACAUGAUUUCCGCAUGUGAUUUAAUGAAGGUAAAAAAUUUUUUUGACAAAAAUACAAAUCUGAAUUAGUUGAUGUUAAGGGCGAAUCGUUGUCUUGCUUUUCUAUCUAGUUUCGCCCUAAUAACGAAGUAAUCCGGAAUUGUUUAGUUCAUGUUUUGAGGAAAUUCGAGGUAAAAAUGUUUCGUCAGAGCUGGGAACGUGCCGUCACUCAUACUAGCACUGAAGUAUUAUUUAACAAUAUUAGCAUUACACACUAGUAUACUAUUUUAUUCUGAGUUCUAAUUUUCACCUCGGUAUUAGUAAUGAAUUCUUAUUUUGAAUUGCAAUUUAGUUUAAUUGGUGUUAUAUUGCUUUUAUUUAUUAGUAUUAGUAUUUUUGUUUUUAUUAGCGGCGAGCUCCGAGAUAAAUACUCUUCAGAAUCGCUCUCAACCCGGACCGUAACAGAUAUUUUUGAAUGUCAUAUAUUCAGAUGUUGAAAUCACAGUUGGUUGGUAUUUUGUAAUUUCACAAUGUAAGGCUACGGCCACAGUGAGGUUUGACAAAUCACGUAAUGCCGCGUUACCAACCUCCGUACAUUUGAGCAAACUCAGUAUGCCCCAGUAAACGCGAUCAUCCCUGUCACGUUUACUGUGGUAUGCUUGGUUACUGUAGUAUACUUAGGUUACCCCGAGGACGAGACCGUUUCUGAAAUAUCUCUCGAAUCUGACUUGCUUUAAGUUUUUCCGACACAAGUUCACUGGAGAGAAAGAGAUUCCGAUAGGGCCCACUUCCGCGGGAAAACGCGGUAUUCAGAAUGGGUCCAGGAUAAAUGAAUUUACCACAUGGACCUCCAAUGAACUUUUUCAAAUAAUCUUGAAGUUGGACACGUCGCAACCGAGGUUUUGAAAACCAAAGAUAAGUAUCCGCUUUCCCGGAAAAUUAUUCACCAGCCAAGUUUCACUCGCGUUUUCUAAUACAACAUUUUGCUCGCCUUGUCUUCUGUAAUAGAGGCUAUUAUAGUUGUUAUUGAAAUAGUGACUCUACUUUUUAUUGACUACAUGAACAAUUCCAGAUGAGACACAUGCCUUGUGCCGCCCACAAAAUUCAGAGAAUUGUAAUGGUUGGAAUAUCGAAAACAGAACGAUCCUUUUCUUCAAAAGAAACUGAGGAUUUUGUUGAAAAUUUUUUCUGCGAUGAUAACGAUAAUGUUCAAAACUGCGAUGUCUCCGUUUAUAAUGUUAUUGUCAAAUGCAAGCGAAUCGCAACAUUUUUCCAUCAUAACUCCUCAGCAAACCGAAGCCUUUAGCAAGAAUUGCAUAACGCCAAGCGUCAGCUAGCCAAAAUUAGUCAGCCGAACAACACACGUUGGAAUUCCGUAUACUAUAUGCUUGAGAGCAUAUGGAAAAUCGGAGAAGCACUAUUUGCCGUUCUAUCGAAAUGUGGCAAGUGGGAGUUGGACCUUACACCUGCCGAAAAACACCUUAUACCACAAACUCUAGCCAUAUUAAAACCAUUCGUCAAGGCCACCACCAAGUUAAGCGGUGAUUCUUAUCCUACUGUAAACCUUAUUAUAACCACAACCAAACAAAUUCUUAUGGAACUGAACAGUUUACUAAGUUUGUCAGACAAUGAGGUAGUAGAAGGAGAAACGACAGUAUUUGAAGUAUCAGAGAACAACGAAGACGCUAAGAUAGUCAUCGACAGCCAGGAGGCAAUUUGUUUUCUAAAGCAACUGGUUAGUUCAACGAGAGAAAAAAUGCUGGAGUAUGAAACUCGAACAGCAUCAGAGUAAGUUUGCGAGGUUUUGGUAACGUUUUAGGUCACGUAGGCAAACUAAUUAUUAAUUAAAUCAUUUAAUUAGUUCUUAAUUAGGUUAAGUUGUUUUAUGUUAUUUAUUUUUUAAGUGUUGAGUAUUUGUAAUAAUUGUUUUUGAAUGUUUAAUCAAUAUGCCAAUCCUAUUUUUUUUUCUUUUUACACAGAUUAAGUACAAGACUAGAUCCGCGCUUUAAAAAACAUGGAUUUAUAUCUGAAUCUAACUACCGCAUGAUGGCUGAGAAAUUAAAAGAAGAACUAAAAACAGUAAUGGCUACACAAAAUAGAACACACAUUGAAUGUUCAUCAUCAAUUGAACCCGUGCCGUGUGUCUCAAAAAGAGGCAAAAACUUGUUACGUACAGACUAAGUGUUAUUUCAAUGUUUUACUUGUUCAUAGCAGAGUACACUUUUUUGAAUAACAUUACGUUCACAAGACAAGAUCGCUCGAUCCACUCAAUAGCACAGGCAAUCGUUCAUUUAAAUAAAUACCUGGAAGAUCCCAUAACAAAUGAAACCACCGAUGUGCUCUCCUUUUGGACCAAUUAUACACCCAACGCAAACGGGGAAUAUUUUAUAACUUUUGGGCAAUUUUUUAUUACUUUUUGUGUCUUAUGACUGCGCAUUAUACACAAAAAGUAACAAACAAAAAGUAAUAAAAAUUAUGACGGCCACACGCUUGUAUGUGUUUCUGCAGGAGAACAUACAGCCAAGCACCGCAAUGCAUGUGUUGGCAAGACUUCACUCGCUGCAUUUGUAUUGAUGCAACGAUCUGGUUCAUUUUUGUCUCCCUUCAUCCACACAUAAUCAGAAUCUCAACCGUCAACCUCAAAUGUCCAAUUAGAAACACUUUCGUUUCGUCCCCCAGUGUUUACUUGAAAUGGAAAUAUGUAAUACCGUCUGACCAGAGUUGCCGAAGUUGCGAAUAUUGUUCUGGAUGGGCACGAGUUUUGUAUAUUCAAACAGGUCCAAAUGAGUUUCCAUGAACCAAUGAUUAUGUGCUGUAAAUAGCUGGCAAGAAAGCGAAUGUUUUUAUUUUUCUCUAACGCAGUUUACAGAUCGUGAUGUCAUUUUAAGGCGCAUUUCAAGUCUUUGAAAUCAUCAACGUUUGCAUACUCUAUGACGGGAAAAAUGUUGCUUGGCAGCUCUUGUCAUAUUUUUCCGCUACUCCGUAUGCAUACAACAAGCGAACUAAUACACGCCCACCGGAUGAAUUGGAGAUUGAAAAAACUUGUAACAUGUGCAACUUAUGCGACGGUGUGUGAUUUUUUUUUUGACUUGAGGUGGAAAGGGAGCAUUUUUCGACAGAAAAAACGUUGCAUGUGGUUGAAACGACCAUUAUAAGAUAGUCGUACUCUCAUAAAAAGCAAAGCCUUGGUGCUACAUUCCGAUUCGGAACUUGACCUUCUGUUUACUAUACACAGACUUCGCAGCCAACCGUUAAGUGUACAGGACAAUUGCGGGGCUAGCGCUACGAUCCUACUGACACUAACAGUCUCUCCCGAGUCAAGACUCGAACCUGCGAUGACUGGCUUGUUAGGCCAGCAUCGUACCUCGAGACCAGCUGGGGAGACAGUCGUACUCUCAUAACACGUGCUAAAUAUAUGACAGUAUGUGUUGUUACUUGACUGGGGAAGAAUUUUGUUGCUUUUUAAGUAAUGGAUUUGUUACCUAAAAGGUAAUUUUGCGCUAUUGCUUCUAAAGUAAUAAGGAAAAGUUUUGCGUGUACAGCUUGCGAAGCACUGCAAUUGCUCUACGUUUCAUGAUAAUACCCGCAUUGUCCGUUCCCUCCGAGAGGGUAAAUUCGACCGCAGGUAACACAAUUACUGAUAAAAGAGCGAGAUUGACUCCAACUCUUGCAGAACAGCUAGUUUUUCUUAAUGAAAACUUCAAAUUUUUGCAAAUGUAGUGCACUGUAAUAAGAAAUUUUAUAAAUAACACACUCACACUGACACAUACAUACACACGCAUACAUACAUACACGCCUACACACUGACACACACCGACAUUUCUGACACACACACACACACACCGACACUUCUGACACACUCACACACACCGACACUUCUGACACACUCACACACACCGACACUUCUGACACACUCACACACACCGACACACACACGAGAAAUUGAAUACAUCAUAUGUAAUGUAAUUUAGUACAUUAUAUGUAGUUAGAGGGAGAGUUGUUUUAUAACUGUUUUAAUGAAUAGAUUACUUAUUAAUCUUACUUACUUAUUACUUAUUAAUCUCACUUAUGUCUUAUAAUUAUGAGUUAAAAAGUUGUACUUGUGUACGUUGAGACGAAUCCCAAACUACGAAAUAUACAUGUUAAACUGUUAUUCAAAGUAUUCUCUUAAUAUUUGAUUACAUUAACUUCUCAAUACUUUAGGUUCACGCUUUAAACUCCAGUUUUAUACAAGACAGUGACAAAUCCAUUCACCAAGUUGAAAAAAGCUAUUAAAACACAAAUCGCAAUGAAACAAAUGGAACGUUCUGCGUAUCGGAUUACUGUUGAGAAUUUUUUAUCCAAUAAACUUUGAAAUCGUCUCCUCUUGCUUUGGAAGUCAUCAUUGUUGCCACAAUCUUUGUUUAUCCAGUUGAAAUUAUUUGCGAUGCCACUAAAAGCAUUGUCCUGUUGCUGUGGUCCACCGCCGCUUUCUAUUUGUUGGAUGAUCUGUUGUUGUGCCUCGGCGACUCUAAUCCUAAUGCAUUCCGCCCAAAUUGUUUUUCCUCCACCAUUGUCAUUUCACGUUCUACAAUAUUCUGCUUGUAAAGUCCAUGCAUCGAGGCAUACUUUGGCCAUUUUACGCUUAAAAGAACCAAUUUCUGCAAGACGUAAACCUUUUUCGGUUUCUGAAAGACCAGCGUACACAUAUUAUGUUUAUACUGAACGUUUGUUUUUUUUUCUGCAACUGUUUCUAGCUG
Molecule: RNA transcript, 6367 nt
Organism: Wyeomyia smithii (pitcher-plant mosquito)
Lineage: Eukaryota; Metazoa; Arthropoda; Insecta; Diptera; Culicidae
Exons: 3
Source: RefSeq, a predicted model, not a curated record